GGACAGGUGGGUGAGUGGCUGAAACCACGUCCCUGCUAAGGACGGAUAUGCAGUAAUGUGUAUCGAGGGUUCGAAUCCCUCCCUGUCCGCCA
Molecule: transfer RNA, 92 nt
Filed under: Campylobacterota bacterium
Lineage: Bacteria; Pseudomonadati; Campylobacterota
Description: tRNA-Ser
Rfam family: tRNA
About the family: Transfer RNA (tRNA) molecules are approximately 80 nucleotides in length. Their secondary structure includes four short double-helical elements and three loops (D, anti-codon, and T loops).
Source: RNAcentral